AGAGUUUGAUCAUGGCUCAGAUUGAACGCUGGCGGCAGGCUUAACACAUGCAAGUCGAGCGGAGAUGAGGUGCUUGCACCUUAUCUUAGCGGCGGACGGGUGAGUAAUGCUUAGGAAUCUGCCUAUUAGUGGGGGACAACAUUCCGAAAGGAAUGCUAAUACCGCAUACGUCCUACGGGAGAAAACAGGGGAUCUUCGGACCUUGCGCUAAUAGAUGAGCCUAAGUCGGAUUAGCUAGUUGGUGGGGUAAAGGCCUACCAAGGCGACGAUCUGUAGCGGGUCUGAGAGGAUGAUCCGCCACACUGGGACUGAGACACGGCCCAGACUCCUAUGGGAGGCAGCAGUGGGGAAUAUUGGACAAUGGGGGGAACCCUGAUCCAGCCAUGGCCGCGUGUGUGAAGAAGGCCUUAUGGUUGUAAAGCACUUUAAGCGAGGAGGAGGCUACUGAGACUAAUACUCUUGGAUAGUGGACGUUACUCGCAGAAUAAGCACCGGCUAACUCUGUGCCAGCAGCCGCGGUAAUACAGAGGGUGCGAGCGUUAAUCGGAUUUACUGGGCGUAAAGCGUGCGUAGGCGGCUUUUUAAGUCGGAUGUGAAAUCCCCGAGCUUAACUUGGGAAUUGCAUUCGAUACUGGGAAGCUAGAGUAUGGGAGAGGAUGGUAGAAUUCCAGGUGUAGCGGUGAAAUGCGUAGAGAUCUGGAGGAAUACCGAUGGCGAAGGCAGCCAUCUGGCCUAAUACUGACGCUGAGGUACGAAAGCAUGGGGAGCAAACAGGAUUAGAUACCCUGGUAGUCCAUGCC
RNAcentral lists this ribosomal RNA (800 nucleotides) under uncultured bacterium. RNAcentral describes it as "bacterial SSU rRNA". It matches the Rfam family "Bacterial small subunit ribosomal RNA", at positions 8 to 801 of the family's 1533-position model. The record is from RNAcentral.